Molecule: long non-coding RNA, 225 nt
Filed under: Setaria italica (foxtail millet)
Lineage: Eukaryota; Viridiplantae; Streptophyta; Magnoliopsida; Poales; Poaceae
Description: long non-coding RNA (SITA_LNC004488)
Source: RNAcentral
GAUCCUUCCUCGGACGGCGGGGAAUGGGAUCACUGAUGUCCUGGCUGGCCUCACCAGGGACAUCCGACCCCCAACGAAUAGCUUCCGCCGUGUUUUUGCUUUCUGUUGCUUUCUUUCAACCUUUGUAAAACUCUGAUUUUAACUAGUAUGUAAUACACUGUUAAACCAAUGGUGGAUCUGUUGUAUUCUCUAGAACCACUCACCUUCGUGUGGGUUAUGCUAAUU